AGAGUUUGAUCAUGGCUCAGAGUGAACGCUGGCGGCGUGCUUAACACAUGCAAGUCGAACGAGAACGGAACUAGCUUGCUAGUUUGUCAGCUAAGUGGCGCACGGGUGAGUAAUAUAUAGUUAAUCUGCCCCAAAGAAGAGAAUAAUUGUUGGAAACGACUUGUAAUGCUCUAUAUGCCUUUAUCACAUAAGUGAGCAAGGGAAAUAUUUAUAGCUUUGGGAUGAGACUGUACGGUAUCAGCUUGUUGGUGAGGUAAUGGCUCACCAAGGCUAUGACAUCUAACUGGUUUGAGAGGAUGAUCAGUCACACUGGAACUGAGACACGGUCCAGACUCCUACGGGAGGCAGCAGUGGGGAAUAUUGCACAAUGGACGAAAGUCUGAUGCAGCAACGCCGCGUGGAGGAUGACACAUUUCGGUGCGUAAACUCCUUUUAUAUGAGAAGAUAAUGACGGUAUCAUAUGAAUAAGCACCGGCUAACUUCGUGCCAGCAGCCGCGGUAAUACGAGGGGUGCAAGCGUUACUCGGAAUCACUGGGCGUAAAGAGCAUGUAGGCGGGUAGUUAAGUUGGAAGUGAAAUCCUAUGGCUCAACCAUAGAACUGCUUCCAAAACUGAUUACCUAGAGUAUGGGAGAGGUAGAUGGAAUUUCUGGUGUAGGGGUAAAAUCCGUAGAGAUCAGAAGGAAUACCGAUUGCGAAGNCGAUCUACUGGNANCAUUACUGACGCUAAGAUGCGAAAGCGUGGGGAGCAAACAGGAUUAGAUACCCUGGNAGUCCACGCCCUAAACGAUGCACACUAGUUGUUGAUAUGCUCGACAUAGCAGUAAUGCAGUUAA
RNAcentral lists this ribosomal RNA (835 nucleotides) under uncultured bacterium. Its description in RNAcentral is "bacterial SSU rRNA". It matches the Rfam family "Bacterial small subunit ribosomal RNA", at positions 8 to 855 of the family's 1533-position model. The record is from RNAcentral.